AGUGAACGCUGGCGGUAGGCCUAACACAUGCAAGUCGAACGGCAGCACAGUAAGAGCUUGCUCUUACGGGUGGCGAGUGGCGGACGGGUGAGGAAUACAUCGGAAUCUACUUUUUCGUGGGGGAUAACGUAGGGAAACUUACGCUAAUACCGCAUACGACCUACGGGUGAAAGCAGGGGAUCUUCGGACCUUGCGCGAUUGAAUGAGCCGAUGUCGGAUUAGCUAGUUGGCGGGGUAAAGGCCCACCAAGGCGACGAUCCGUAGCUGGUCUGAGAGGACGAUCAGCCACACUGGAACUGAGACACGGUCCAGUCUCCUACGGGAGGCAGCAGUGGGGAAUAUUGGACAAUGGGCGCAAGCCUGAUCCAGCCAUACCGCGUGGGUGAAGAAGGCCUUCGGGUUGUAAAGCCCUUUUGUUGGGAAAGAAAAGCAGCAGGUUAAUACCCCGCUGUUCUGACGGUACCCAAAGAAUAAGCACCGGCUAACUUCGUG
RNAcentral lists this ribosomal RNA (492 nucleotides) under uncultured bacterium. RNAcentral's name for it is "partial 16S ribosomal RNA". It matches the Rfam family "Bacterial small subunit ribosomal RNA", at positions 29 to 507 of the family's 1533-position model. The record is from RNAcentral.